GGGCAAGUCACUAAAGCCAGCCCAGCUCUAAGGAGAAGGGCAUUAGAUUCUACCUCUCAACGGGAGAAGUAGCAAGAAUUUGUGGCUAUGAUUAACUUAGAACGUGAGAGAAUGGAAGAAAUUUCUACCCAGUGGCAGUGGGCCACCUCCACAAACAUCCUUUCACUUCUCCGCUCCUUCUCCAGUAGCAGGAAGGAGACUGGAGAGCUGCAAGGCAGGUCUUGGACACAUCCUCCCAACCCCUCUCAGAGACAGAGGGGCACUGCGUCUAUCCGUGGAGACCUGGGGACCCAGGGCCUUCCCUGUGAGUACCUUUCUCUGAAACGAAGAGCUUUCUCUGACCUCUCCCGCUAAGCUUCCAGCCCAUCUCAUCUACAAACUCUUAUGCCUUUGGAGCUCUUCAAAAACUGGAAGUGCUCUUCCUACAGCAACGUAUUAGACUUGAUAAAAGUAUAUAAACAGAAGUUCUGAUAUUUUCUUCCCAAACUCCUUGGAUCAUUUUUCUCCUCCCUCCCCCACUGCCCUCAGUAUUACCAGUCACUUCAGAGACCAUAGCUCUUGCCAGCCAAGAGGUGAGACUCCUUGAAUGAAUUAAACCUGGUUAGUGCUGCCGACACUCAUGUUCCUGCUGGCUGGUGGUGCUGACUCUCGGGCUCAGGAAGGUAGAGAGACACCCAAAUAUCCUCCAAAAAUAACUGACAUGUUUGUGGAGGCAGCCGCUGUCUUCACUAUACUCACUACACUGGGCUUUUUCAGUUCUAGUCAUCUCCCUGCGUGGGAAACUGUCUAUGAACUAAUCUAUCUUCUAGGCCACUGGGUUGACUUUUUCUCAAAAUUUUGUUUAGCUGGGGUUCUUCCCUCCUCUCCCCAAAAAUCUAUUGCCUUUAGUUCUUCUCCUCAUCUAGUUAGUGUUCUGAUUUAAAAUAUAAACAUUGAAUUUAAGAGGACUUCCUGGUGCUGUUGGGUAGGUUU
RNAcentral lists this long non-coding RNA (972 nucleotides) under Equus asinus (donkey). RNAcentral's name for it is "lncRNA (ENSEASG00005029243.1)". Lineage: Eukaryota; Metazoa; Chordata; Mammalia; Perissodactyla; Equidae. The record is from RNAcentral.